This 334-nucleotide ribosomal RNA is filed under the name uncultured eukaryote. RNAcentral's name for it is "partial 18S ribosomal RNA". It matches the Rfam family "Eukaryotic small subunit ribosomal RNA", at positions 1470 to 1796 of the family's 1831-position model. The record is from RNAcentral.
CCCUUAGAUGUCCGGGGCCGCACGCGCGCUACACUGAAGGAAUCAGCGUGGCUUUCUCCCUGACCCGAAAGGGUUGGGAAACCCGUUGAAUCUCCUUCGUGAUAGGGAUUGGGGCUUGAAAUUGUUCCCCAUGAACGAGGAAUUCCCAGUAAGCGCGAGUCAUAAGCUCGCGUUGAUUACGUCCCUGCCCUUUGUACACACCGCCCGUCGCUACUACCGAUUGAACGGUUUAGUGAGGGCCUCGGAUUGGUCUCGGCCCGCUCUUUACCGGGCGGCGCCGUUGGUCAAGAAGACGCUCGAACUUGAUCGUUUAGAGGAAGUAAAAGUCGUAACA